GCGGUCGUGGUGGAAUUGGUAGACACGCAAGGUUAAGGACCUUGUGGGGGUAAACCCUGUGCCGGUUCAAUUCCGGCCGACCGCA
Molecule: transfer RNA, 85 nt
Filed under: Fibrobacteria bacterium
Lineage: Bacteria; Pseudomonadati; Fibrobacterota; Fibrobacteria
Description: tRNA-Leu
Rfam family: tRNA
About the family: Transfer RNA (tRNA) molecules are approximately 80 nucleotides in length. Their secondary structure includes four short double-helical elements and three loops (D, anti-codon, and T loops).
Source: RNAcentral